This 429-nucleotide ribosomal RNA is filed under the name uncultured Edwardsiella sp. RNAcentral describes it as "bacterial SSU rRNA". It matches the Rfam family "Bacterial small subunit ribosomal RNA", at positions 355 to 776 of the family's 1533-position model. The record is from RNAcentral. Lineage: Bacteria; Pseudomonadati; Pseudomonadota; Gammaproteobacteria; Enterobacterales; Hafniaceae.
UGGGGAAUAUUGCACAAUGGGCGCAAGCCUGAUGCAGCCAUGCCGCGUGUAUGAAGAAGGCCUUCGGGUUGUAAAGUACUUUCAGUAGGGAGGAAGGUGUACGUGUUAAUAGCACGUACAAUUGACGUUACCUACAGAAGAAGCACCGGCUAACUCCGUGCCAGCAGCCGCGGUAAUACGGAGGGUGCAAGCGUUAAUCGGAAUUACUGGGCGUAAAGCGCACGCAGGCGGUUUGUUAAGUUGGAUGUGAAAUCCCCGGGCUUAACCUGGGAACUGCAUCCAAGACUGGCAAGCUAGAGUCUCGUAGAGGGAGGUAGAAUUCCAGGUGUAGCGGUGAAAUGCGUAGAGAUCUGGAGGAAUACCGGUGGCGAAGGCGGCCUCCUGGACGAAGACUGACGCUCAGGUGCGAAAGCGUGGGGAGCAAACAGG